AGUGAACGCUGGCGGCGUGCUUAAUACAUGCAAGUCGAACGAUGAAGUCCUAGCUUGCUAGGAUGGAUUAGUGGCGCACGGGUGAGUAAUAUAUAGUUAAUCUGCCUUGCACUGAGGAACAACAGUUGGAAACGAUUGCUAAUACCUCAUACUCCAACUUUACAUAAGUUAAGUUGGGAAAGUCUUUUCGGUGCAAGAUGAGACUAUAUCGUAUCAGCUAGUUGGUAAGGUAAUGGCUUACCAAGGCUAUGACGCGUAACUGGUCUGAGAGGAUGAUCAGUCACAUUGGAACUGAGACACGGUCCAAACUCCUACGGGAGGCAGCAGUAAGGAAUAUUGUGCAAUUGGGGAAACCCUGACGCAGCAACGCCGCGUGGAGGAUGACACUUUUCGGAGCGUAAACUCCUUUUGUUAGGGAAGAAUAAUGACGGUACCUAACGAAUAAGCACCGGCUAACUCCGUG
RNAcentral lists this ribosomal RNA (463 nucleotides) under uncultured bacterium. RNAcentral describes it as "partial 16S ribosomal RNA". It matches the Rfam family "Bacterial small subunit ribosomal RNA", at positions 29 to 507 of the family's 1533-position model. The record is from RNAcentral.